This is a transfer RNA of Tremella mesenterica DSM 1558, 105 nucleotides long. It matches the Rfam family "tRNA". Rfam says of the family: Transfer RNA (tRNA) molecules are approximately 80 nucleotides in length. Their secondary structure includes four short double-helical elements and three loops (D, anti-codon, and T loops). Lineage: Eukaryota; Fungi; Basidiomycota; Tremellomycetes; Tremellales; Tremellaceae. The record is from Rfam.
GACACUUUAGUACAGUGGGAGUUACGCUCGCCUGAAGUCAUUAUACUCUCCCGAGAUGUUCGGAGGUAAAGCGAGAGGUCGUGGGCUCGAAUCCCACAAGUGUCA